This is a non-coding RNA of Monodelphis domestica (gray short-tailed opossum), 3790 nucleotides long. NCBI's taxonomy places the organism in Eukaryota, Metazoa, Chordata, Mammalia, Didelphimorphia, Didelphidae. The record is from RefSeq and is a predicted model, not a curated record.
CUCCCCAAUCUGUGCUCCAGGGACCCCCUGAACCCAGACUGGGCACUCCCUCACUCAUCUGAGCUCUGGAGUCCUCCUGCCCCUUACUCCAUCUCUAUCUCUGUCCCCUGCCCCCAGCCUUGUCUUCCCCCCAAUCUGUGCUCCGGGGACCUUCUGGCCCCAGCCUUCCCACCCUCUUCUCCCACCCCCCACUCAUCUGUGCUCCAGGGUAGGACUUCGUCUUACCUCCAUCCCUGUCUCUGUCCCUGCACCCUGUCCCCCUCCCCAAUGCUUCGAGGGCCCCCAGCCCUUUACUCCCUGCCCUAUCUUUGUCCCUGCACCCCCACCUCCAGCCUUGUCCUGCCCCUAUCCUUCUCUCCCCCUACUCAUCUAGGUUUCAUCUCCAUUCCUGUCUCAGUGCCUUGUCCUGCUUGGCUGCUUCAGUUUCUGGGGUGCCUCAUCCCCAUCCCUGUCUCUGCUGGAGUCCCUGUGCACACCCCCCUCUCCCUCCAGCCUUGAUCUUCCUAUCUCCUCCUAUGCCCCAUCCCCUGCUCUGGGCUCUGGAGUCCCCUCAGCCCUCAUCUGGGCUCUGCCAGCAUCUCUAUUCUCAGCCUGGUCUUCUCCCAGUCUGUGCUUCAGGAAUCCCCCUGGCGUUUACCCGAAUCCCCAGCUUUGCUCCCUCCUCUAUCUGUCCCCUGUGGAGUCUUCCCAUCUCAGACUCUGUUUAGGUCCCCAGGCCCUCAUACUCCCCACUUCCCAACCCUGCCCAGCCCCUCACUGACCCAUAUCUGCUCCUAUACCUGCCAGCCCUCUAAACCUCCCUAGCCAGUCUGUUCUCCUUCCCCCUCUCCACUCCUCUGGAGCCACUCAUUCCUUUUCGAGGUCUAGGGAGCUUGGCCCUUACUCACUGGCACCGUUGGCCUAUAUGUCCCUCCUCAGCAGCCCUCCCAGGUUCUGUCCCCUUCCACUCUUGGACUUGGCUUAUUCCAACCCAGGCUCUUGUCUUUCAUCUUGCCUUCCCAUCUGUGCCCCAUGUUCCCCUCCCUGGCUCUGCCCAGGUCCCUUGGCAGCUGCCCCCCUAUUCCAUCCCCAUCUCUGUACCCUGUCUAUAUCUUACAAACCAAGCUGUCUGGUAAGUUCCUCCUCUGUCCCUUGUUCUUCCUCCCUGCCUCCAUGUGUGCUUGUAGUCAGGAUUCCUGAGUCCCUUCUCACUUUCCUGCUUCCUCCUGUCCUGGUCUGUGACCUGCAUCGUUGUCUUUCUACCCCUGGACGUGCCAUAUGUAUGACUCCAUCCUAUAUCCCUUGGGGGAGCCACAGGCUUCACUCCAAGACUCUCCUAUCUUGUUGUUUGCCUCAUACCUCACUCCCAUCUUUAGCUCUGUCCAGGAUCUGGUGUUCCUUAUCUCCCAGCUCUGGCCCUCAUCUCCGCCUUUGGACUGGAGUGUCUUCCAGCUUCUCUGUAGCCUGCUCCCUACUUUCUGGCCUGUGCCUUCUAUCUCUUCCCUUCUACUCCUUUGCUCUGCUCUGUGGCCCUUUGAUCCCACAUCCCAGGCUCUUCUCCAGGUCACACCCCUCCUACUGCAGUUUGUGCCUGGCAUCCCUUCUUCCCUGGGAACUCUGGCUCAGCUCCCUAGCCAGAUUGCUUUCCCAAUUCCCAGGUUUCUUUUCAGGCUCCAAUGUUUAUGUCAAACUGUUUCCCCCACCUCCCUACCAUAAUUCCAUCUCCCAACUAUCCUCAGUAUCCUUAGUAUCACUGUCCUCCCCUUCACUCAUGGCUAUGCCUGCCUUUGCCCUCUGCUCUCCCAGUCCAGUGUGGUUCCUUAUAUUUCCUUCUUUCUCUGACCUCUCCCUCCCCCUCUCUACCCCCAUCCUGCUCUAGGGCAUGUAUCCCUUCUCCUCCAAUUCAGGCUUCUCUUUUCCAUAUAUUUCUACCUCUUGAACCUUUCUCAUUCUAACCACCAUGAUCUGUGCUUCCCUUCUGUUUUGUUUUUUGGUUUCCUUAUACCAUGGACUGCUCUUUAUCUUCCUACCACUUGGUUUUGUGCCCUUCCGAUCCUAUAUCUUCAUCUCUAUUCUGGCUAGCCUAGUCACCAUCCAAUAUUAUUCACCCCUAAACCUCUUUUAUUCCUGGCUUUACUCCAUAUCCCAUGCCACCCCCAGACCUUGCCCUCCAUCCCUGACUUAGCCUGUAGUUAUGAUGGGUGGGGGUGGAGGGGAAAGGCAUUCUUUCUUUAUUCUGAUCUCUCUUUCUUUUCUUUCUCAGGUUCUGCUCUGUAUUCUCUGUCCCUCACCCCUUUCCUUUCUUCCUUAGGUUGGUCUUCCUUCCACUAAUCUAACCUUGGCCCUCCUUUCAACUCUCCCUCAUCUUGAGUUUAGCUCCAUAUCUCUACCACAUGAUUCUAGUCUUCACCCACCUUUCCUUUCUCUAGAUACUGUCCAGCAGCCCCCUUUCCCCUUUAUCCCAGGGUCUGCCCUCUAUUCUCCCCACUUCAAGGCUCUGUCCAGCAUCUUCCCCAUCCCAGGCUGUAAUCUGAACCCCACUCCUACAUACAUGCUGUUCCCUUUCCAUUCUACAUGGUGUCCCAAAUCCUAUUCCCCUCCCCUCUGUUCUGCAUCCACCCACAGCCAUGACUCUGUUUAUGCUCUUCCUCAUCUCCUAUUUCUUCUGCUUGCCUUCUCCCCCUUCCCCACUUUCCUUCUUGUUGUAUUGGGCAUUGCAUCCCCUUCCUCCAAGAACAUGCUCCUAAUCUACUUCAUCCCCAAAUUCUGCUUUUAUUCCCGACCUCCCACCCAGAGUUCUGUUCUACAUCCCUCCAACUCCCAUCUUUGCUCGGCACUCUUGGGCAGGACACCUUGUCACUUUCCUAGCUUGGCUUUGGUCUGAUCUCUUUUUUGCCCCUGAAUCUUGCCCUUCUCCACACUUCUGGCUCUCUCCUUUAUCUCCUCAUAUUUCUCUGCAGCUACCCUUCUCCAUCCCUUUAGCUUCCCUCUAAACAGCAUUUUCUUUAUCUCCAGUGGUGAUAUCCAUUAUUGUGUCCCCAGAGGAGCUCUUCUCUUGUCUCCAUCUGUUUCUCCUUGGCCUCAUUAUUGCUGUUAUUCUCGCAUCCUUUUUCCUACCCUUUGGACCCUUUUCUUUCUUUGACAUUAGGCUUCCUUCUUCUUUCCAAUAAUCUUAGUUCUCCUUAGCUAUGCCUCUAAUCUUCUGUCUUGUCAUAUUUGCUCUGAAGUGUCUGGAUUUCCUUGUCUCCAGGUUCCUUCAAUUCCCCAAUCAAUUUCCUUUGCCACAGAUUAGUGGUGGCUAAAACCGAACUUUAAUGUUUUAGUGUUGAAUGGCACUGAGCGAGGUAACCAAAGGGUUGAGGAGAGUCCGAGCUGUUGUCUUUGACUUGCUAUGUCUAUCGUUUCAUGUUUGUUGCUCUUUCUGCGGUUGCCUCUUUGGAAAGGACCAUGAUGUUCUGUUACUGCUUUCAGGAAAGUUGCUCUUGUAACCACCAUGUGUGUUUCAUUUGUUUAGAGUCCUCACUGAAUCUUUGGAAAGAAAAUUCCCAUGAAUCAUCCCUCCCCCUUCAAACAAGCUAUCAAGAUACUGCUAGCUCUGAAGGCUGAUCUGCUGUUCCUUUCUUGGCUGCUUUGCAGAUGUUGACUAUCUGCACCGAUUAGAGUCUCCAUGGCCUGGACGUUAUCGAAAAAUCAUUCUGAAUAAAAGAUCUGUCGAGUGACUGAUCCCAGCAUCAAGAUGGUGGGAAAAACUAAAGCAGAAUUUGCUGUUGGCAUGUCUGGUGAUCAGUUCCGUGACUGUCUUUUACCUGGG